CACCGGCGGCUCGAGUGGUGGCCACUUUUAUUGGGUCUAAAGCGUCCGUAGCCGGCUUUGCAAGUCCCCUGGGAAAUCUGGCGGCUUAACCGUCAGGCGUCCAGAGGAUACUGCCAGGCUUGGGACCGGGAGAGGUGAGAGGUACCUCAGGGGUAGGGGUGAAAUCUUGUGAUCCCUGAGGGACCACCAGUGGCGAAGGCGUCUCACUAGAACGGGUCCGACGGUCAGGGACGAAAGCUGGGGGCACGAACCGG
This 254-nucleotide ribosomal RNA is filed under the name uncultured microorganism. Its description in RNAcentral is "partial 16S ribosomal RNA". It matches the Rfam family "Archaeal small subunit ribosomal RNA", at positions 474 to 727 of the family's 1478-position model. The record is from RNAcentral.